Molecule: unclassified non-coding RNA, 237 nt
Filed under: Hevea brasiliensis (rubber tree)
Lineage: Eukaryota; Viridiplantae; Streptophyta; Magnoliopsida; Malpighiales; Euphorbiaceae
Source: RNAcentral
CAAAGGAUGCUGAUUUGGUAUGAUGGUGGUUCCUAUUUUCUAUUUCCUUGUUAAGCAUUGACUUCAUAUAUUUAUAUGUUCAAGCAUGAUCCUUUUUUCUUUUAAUUCCUUGUGGUUUUGGCUUACCCUUCUGUUUGAGAAAUACUGUUGCAAACAUGAACUUCAGUAGAAACUACAAGGGCAGGAUCUGUAACUAUACUCGUAUCUUGAAAUUUGUGUUGUUCAGAUUAUCUUGGA